UGGCUUCCCAGCCAGCUGACAUUGGUGCACUGUCUGGGACAUGAAAGGCUCCCCCAACAAACUGGUCAUUUUCUGAAAACACAAGAACCAAUUCCACAUGGUGUUCCAGUUUUGGCACAAAUGUUGUUGCUGCCACUCGAUUCAGACCUCUUAUCAAUCUGUGACAGAAUGACAACAGAAGAAAUACUGAAGAUGUUGGAAACAUUUAAUAAAGGACCAUAAUACAUAUUUGAAACUCAGUAAAUUAAAUAAAAAUGAAGAAAAAACAUUCCUAACUACGGACACCGAAAUCUAAAAGCAGCAAAAUAAAAGCUGCAACGGGCUGUGGAGGAGGCUGCUCUCACUGCAGAGAUUACUGAGCUGCAAGACUCUGCCCCUUCCCCUCAGAGAACCAACAAACUUCAUGUGGACUCCCCUAUCUCCUACGGAAGUCUCACAGACCCGAAGAUGAAAAUAUCUGCCGUGAAAUCCAUGGCUUCUUCCCCCCAGAAAUACACUGUAUUCAUAAACUUUGUAAAAGUA
Rhincodon typus (whale shark) is the source of this 522-nucleotide long non-coding RNA. RefSeq lists it as uncharacterized. The transcript is spliced from 3 exons. Lineage: Eukaryota; Metazoa; Chordata; Chondrichthyes; Orectolobiformes; Rhincodontidae. The record is from RefSeq and is a predicted model, not a curated record.